Molecule: ribosomal RNA, 115 nt
Organism: Tupaia belangeri (northern tree shrew)
Lineage: Eukaryota; Metazoa; Chordata; Mammalia; Scandentia; Tupaiidae
Source: Ensembl
GUCUAUGGCCAUACCCACCCUGAAUGCACCCAAUCUCAUCUGAUCUCCUGAUCAGCAGGGUUGGGCCUGAUUAGUACUUGGUUGGGAGAAAUGAAGAAGCCUGGUACUAUCUCUU